GGCGGACGGGUGAGUAACGCGUAAGAACUUGCCCUUUAGACUGGGAUAACAGAGGGAAACUUCUGAUAAUACUGGAUAAGUUAGUAUAUCGCAUGAUAUGCAAAUGAAAGCUACGGCACUAAAGGAGAGCUUUGCGUCCUAUUAGCUAGUUGGUAAGGUAAGAGCUUACCAAGGCGAUGAUAGGUAGCCGGCCUGAGAGGGUGAACGGCCACAUUGGAACUGAGAAACGGUCCAAACUCCUACGGGAGGCAGCAGGC
Molecule: ribosomal RNA, 257 nt
Filed under: uncultured Soehngenia sp.
Lineage: Bacteria; Bacillati; Bacillota; Tissierellia; Tissierellales; Tissierellaceae
Description: partial 16S ribosomal RNA
Rfam family: Bacterial small subunit ribosomal RNA
Source: RNAcentral